GGGCCGUUAGCUCAGCGGUAGAGCAGUUGGCUUUUAACCAAUUGGUCGAUGGUUCGAAUCCAUCACGGCCCA
This is a transfer RNA of 72 nucleotides. It matches the Rfam family "tRNA". From Rfam's summary of the family: Transfer RNA (tRNA) molecules are approximately 80 nucleotides in length. Their secondary structure includes four short double-helical elements and three loops (D, anti-codon, and T loops). The record is from Rfam.